GACGAACGCUGGCGGCGUGCUUAACACAUGCCAGUCGAACGGAAGGGCCCUGCUUGCCGGGUGCUCGAGUGGCGAACGGGUGAGUAACACGUGGGUGAUCUGCCCCUUACUUUGGGAUAAGCCUGGGAAACUGGGUCUAAUACUGGAUAGGACCAUGCUGUAGGUGGUGUGGUGGAAAGAUUAGUUUCGGUAAGGGAUGAGCUCGCGGCCUAUCAGCUUGUUGGUGGGGUAAUGGCCUACCAAGGCGUCGACGGGUAGCCGGCCUGAGAGGGUGGACGGCCACAUUGGGACUGAGAUACGGCACAGACUCCUACGGGAGGCAGCAGUGGGGAAUAUUGCACAAUGGGCGCAAGCCUGAUGCGGCGACGCCGCGUGGGGGAUGACGGCCUUCGGGUUGUAAACUCCUUUCAGCCAUGACGAAGCCCUUGUGGUGACGGUAGUGGUAGAAGAAGCACCGGCUAACUACGUG
This 469-nucleotide ribosomal RNA is filed under the name uncultured bacterium. RNAcentral's name for it is "partial 16S ribosomal RNA". It matches the Rfam family "Bacterial small subunit ribosomal RNA", at positions 28 to 507 of the family's 1533-position model. The record is from RNAcentral.